UACGGAGGGGGCUAGCGUUGUUCGGAAUUACUGGGCGUAAAGCGCGCGUAGGCGGACCUGCAAGUCGGGGGUGAAAGCCCGAGGCUCAACCUCGGAACUGCCUUCGAUACUGGGGGUCUCGAGUCCGGGAGAGGGGAGUGGAAUUCCUAGUGUAGAGGUGAAAUUCGUAGAUAUUAGGAAGAACACCAACGGCGAAGGCAGCUCGCUAGGACGGAACUGACGCUGAGGCGCGAAAGCGUGGGGAGCAAACAGG
This 253-nucleotide ribosomal RNA is filed under the name uncultured bacterium. RNAcentral's name for it is "partial 16S ribosomal RNA". It matches the Rfam family "Bacterial small subunit ribosomal RNA", at positions 524 to 776 of the family's 1533-position model. The record is from RNAcentral.